RNAcentral lists this small RNA (161 nucleotides) under Arabidopsis thaliana (thale cress). RNAcentral's name for it is "ATSL234130". The record is from RNAcentral. Lineage: Eukaryota; Viridiplantae; Streptophyta; Magnoliopsida; Brassicales; Brassicaceae.
UAAGAAGUUAAAAUUAUCUUUAUACAAUAUUUCUUAAAGAAUGUAAAAUUUCUAAAAAAUUUAUCUUAGUGGGACGGAGGGAAUAUAUUGUAUGGAUAUCAAACUGCCAUAUCACUUUCUAAUAACAAUGUGAAUCACAGAGGUGAAGCGCCAUAUUACAC